This 75-nucleotide transfer RNA is filed under the name Candidatus Parcubacteria bacterium. RNAcentral's name for it is "tRNA-Val". It matches the Rfam family "tRNA". From Rfam's summary of the family: Transfer RNA (tRNA) molecules are approximately 80 nucleotides in length. Their secondary structure includes four short double-helical elements and three loops (D, anti-codon, and T loops). The record is from RNAcentral. Lineage: Bacteria; Candidatus Parcubacteria.
GGGCGCGUAGCUCAGUGGUAGAGCGUCCGCCUUACACGCGGAAGGUCUCAGGUUCAAGUCCUGACGCGCCCACCA